RNAcentral lists this ribosomal RNA (254 nucleotides) under uncultured bacterium. RNAcentral describes it as "partial 16S ribosomal RNA". It matches the Rfam family "Bacterial small subunit ribosomal RNA", at positions 524 to 776 of the family's 1533-position model. The record is from RNAcentral.
UACGUAGGCAGCGAGCGUUGUUCGGAGUUACUGGGCGUAAAGGGUGUGUAGGCGGUUUUUCUAAGUUUGGUGUGAAAUCUCCCGGCUCAACCGGGAGGGUGCGCCGAAAACUGGGAGACUAGAGUGCGGGAUGGGAGAGUAGAAUUCCUGGUGUAGCGGUGAAAUGCGUAGAUAUCAGGAGGAAUACCGGUGGUGUAGACGGCUCUCUGGACCGCCACUGACGCUGAGACACGAAAGCGUGGGUAGCAAACAGG